This 450-nucleotide ribosomal RNA is filed under the name uncultured Glomeromycotina. Its description in RNAcentral is "SSU rRNA". It matches the Rfam family "Eukaryotic small subunit ribosomal RNA", at positions 569 to 1021 of the family's 1831-position model. Lineage: Eukaryota; Fungi; Glomeromycota. The record is from RNAcentral.
AGCAGCCGCGGUAAUUCCAGCUCCAAUAGCGUAUAUUAAAGUUGUUGCAGUUAAAAAGCUCGUAGUUGAACUUCGGGGUUUACCCAUUGGUCAGGCUUAAUUGUCUGUACUGGUGAGAUAAAUCUCUACCUUCUGAGGAACUUUCAUGCCAUUUAGUUGGUGUGAUAGGAAAUCAGGACUGUUACUUUGAAAAAAUUAGAGUAUUUAAAGCAGGCUAACGUCUGAAUACAUUGGCAUGGAAUAAUGAAAUAGGACGGAUUGGUUCUAUUUCGUUGGUUUCUAGGAUCACCGUAAUGAUUAAUAGGGAUAGUUGGGGGCAUUAGUAUUCAAUUGUCAGAGGUGAAAUUCUUGGAUUUAUUGAAGACUAACUAUUGCGAAAGCAUUUGCCAAGGAUGUUUUCAUUAAUCAAGAACGAAAGUUAGGGGAUCGAAGACGAUCAGAUACCGUCGU